AGCUGUGGGGACGACUCUUCUGGAGGAAGCAGCGCGGGCUUGACCGGCGUCGGCCCGCCGCCUCCGCUGCCGCUUCGCCCCAAUCCGGUCCCUCUGACCCGGCCUGACCCGGUCUGGCUUGUUCGGGCUCAGCGGCCGCGAGGCCGCAGCUCCCGAUGGAAAUCAUAUUAUGUAGAAUACUUGGGUGACAUCUGCCUGAGAGAUCUCCAAGAAUUACAGGUAUCUCAUUCAGUUGCUAAACUUAUAUUAGUUAAUUUCCACUGGCAAGUUUCAGAGAUAUUGGACAGAUACAAGUCCAAUUCUGCUCAACUGCUUGUUGAGGCUCGAGUUCAGCCUAAUCCAUCAAAACAUGUUCCCACAUCCCAUCCCCCUCACCACUGUGCAGUGUGUAUGCAGUUUGUGCGAAAGGAAAACCUACUCUCUCUGGCCUGUCAGCACCAGUUUUGCCGUAGCUGCUGGGAGCAGCACUGCUCAGUUCUCGUCAAGGACGGCGUGGGCGUGGGAGUCUCUUGUAUGGCUCAGGACUGUCCACUCCGUACACCAGAGGACUUUGUGUUUCCAUUGCUUCCCAAUGAAGAAUUGAGAGAGAAAUACAGGCGCUACCUCUUCAGGGACUAUGUGGAGAGUCAUUACCAGCUCCAGCUGUGCCCUGGUGCAGACUGCCCCAUGGUUAU
Molecule: small RNA, 674 nt
Filed under: Pan troglodytes (chimpanzee)
Lineage: Eukaryota; Metazoa; Chordata; Mammalia; Primates; Hominidae
Description: processed transcript
Source: RNAcentral